AUUGAACGCUGGCGGCAAGCCUAACACAUGCAAGUCGAGCGGUAACAGAUCGCUGAGAUUCCUUCGGGAUGAUCUUGAUGCUGACGAGCGGCGGACGGGUGAGUAACGCGUAGGAAUCUACCCAGUAGCGGGGGAUAGCUCGAGGAAACUCGAAUUAAUACCGCAUACGCCCUAAGGGGGAAAGCAGGGGAUCUUCGGACCUUGCACUAUUGGAUGAGCCUGCGUUGGAUUAGCUAGUUGGUGGGGUAAAGGCCUACCAAGGCGACGAUCCAUAGCUGGUCUGAGAGGAUGAUCAGCCACACUGGGACUGAGACACGGCCCAG
Molecule: ribosomal RNA, 323 nt
Filed under: uncultured bacterium
Lineage: Bacteria
Description: bacterial SSU rRNA
Rfam family: Bacterial small subunit ribosomal RNA
Source: RNAcentral